RNAcentral lists this ribosomal RNA (433 nucleotides) under uncultured bacterium. RNAcentral describes it as "partial 16S ribosomal RNA". It matches the Rfam family "Bacterial small subunit ribosomal RNA", at positions 29 to 507 of the family's 1533-position model. The record is from RNAcentral.
AGCGAACGCUGGCGGCAUGCUUAACACAUGCAAGUCGCACGGGCAGCACUGUCAGUGGCGGACGGGUGAGUAAAGCGUAGGAACGAGUCCUGAGGUGGGGGACAACCCCGGGAAACUGGGGCUAAUACAGCAUAUGGGCUGCGGCCCAAAGCCGAGGGGCGCCUUUGGAGCGGUCUGAGUCUGAUUCGGUAGUUGGUGGGGUAAAGGCCUAUCAAGCAUGCGAUCGGUGGCUGGUCUGAUAGGACGACCAGCCGCACUUGGACUGAGACACGGCCCAGACUCGUACGGAAGGCAGCAGAAGAUAAUAUUGGACGAGGAGCGAAAGCCUGAUCCAGCAAUGCCGGGUAUGUGGAGAAGGUCUUCGGAUCGUAAUUCCCUUUCGACGGGAACGAUGAUGACGGUACCCGGAGAAGAAGCCCCGGCUAACUACGUG